Molecule: ribosomal RNA, 253 nt
Filed under: uncultured bacterium
Lineage: Bacteria
Description: partial 16S ribosomal RNA
Rfam family: Bacterial small subunit ribosomal RNA
Source: RNAcentral
UACGGAGGGGGCUAGCGUUGUUCGGAAUUACUGGGCGUAAAGCGCGCGUAGGCGGACCUGCAAGUCGGGGGUGAAAGCCCGAGGCUCAACCUCGGAACUGCCUUCGAUACUGCGGGUCUCGAGUCCGGGAGAGGUGAGUGGAAUUCCUAGUGUAGAGGUGAAAUUCGUAGAUAUUAGGAAGAACACCAGUGGCGAAGGCAGCCUCCUGGGCCAGCACUGACGCUCAUGCACGAAAGCGUGGGGAGCAAACAGG